This 232-nucleotide ribosomal RNA is filed under the name uncultured bacterium. RNAcentral describes it as "partial 16S ribosomal RNA". It matches the Rfam family "Bacterial small subunit ribosomal RNA", at positions 118 to 347 of the family's 1533-position model. The record is from RNAcentral.
UGAGCAACCUGCCCUUGACUCUGGAAUAACAGUUGGAAACAGCUGCUAAUACCGGAUACGACCUCCGACGGCAUCAUCUGGAGGUGGAAAGCUCCGACGGUCAAGGAUGGGCUCGCGGCCUAUCAGCUUGUUGGUGAGGUAACGGCUCACCAAGGCUUCGACGGGUAGCCGGCCUGAGAGGGCGACCGGCCACACUGGGACUGAGACACGGCCCAGACUCCGUACGGGAGCA